ACAGCAGCCGCCGCGGUAAUACAGAGGGUGCGAGCGUUAAUCGGAUUUACUGGGCGUAAAGCGUGCGUAGGCGGCUUUUUAAGUCGGAUGUGAAAUCCCUGAGCUUAACUUAGGAAUUGCAUUUGAUACUGGGAAGCUAGAGUAUGGGAGAGGAUGGUAGAAUUCCAGGUGUAGCGGUGAAAUGCGUAGAGAUCUGGAGGAAUACCGAUGGCGAAGGCAGCCAUCUGGCCUAAUACUGACGCUGAGGUACGAAAGCAUGGGGAGCAAACAGGAUUAGAUACCCCCGUAGUCCCUGUCUCUUAUAC
RNAcentral lists this ribosomal RNA (305 nucleotides) under uncultured bacterium. RNAcentral describes it as "partial 16S ribosomal RNA". It matches the Rfam family "Bacterial small subunit ribosomal RNA", at positions 508 to 807 of the family's 1533-position model. The record is from RNAcentral.